RNAcentral lists this transfer RNA (72 nucleotides) under Dokdonia pacifica. It matches the Rfam family "tRNA". Rfam says of the family: Transfer RNA (tRNA) molecules are approximately 80 nucleotides in length. Their secondary structure includes four short double-helical elements and three loops (D, anti-codon, and T loops). The record is from Rfam by way of RNAcentral. Lineage: Bacteria; Pseudomonadati; Bacteroidota; Flavobacteriia; Flavobacteriales; Flavobacteriaceae.
GCAGUUAUGGUGUUAAUGGCAGCAUAAUAGACUUCCACUCUUUAGGUCUGAGUUCGAAUCUCAGUAACUGCU